This 774-nucleotide ribosomal RNA is filed under the name uncultured Neocallimastigales. RNAcentral describes it as "partial large subunit ribosomal RNA". It matches the Rfam family "Eukaryotic large subunit ribosomal RNA", at positions 24 to 633 of the family's 3401-position model. Lineage: Eukaryota; Fungi; Neocallimastigomycota; Neocallimastigomycetes; Neocallimastigales. The record is from RNAcentral.
UAGUCUCGCACAGAUGCAUAUCAAUAAGCGGAGGAAAAGAAACUAACAAGGAUUCCCCUAGUAACGGCGAGUGAAGCGGGAAGAGCUCAAAUUUGAAAUCUUAAAGGGUUUCCCUUUACGAAUUGUAGUUUAAAGAAGUGUUUUCUGUUGAGGUUUUGGUAAAAGUUCUUUGGAAUAGGACAUCAUAGAGGGUGAGAAUCCCGUAUUUGACCUUUACUUUCAACUUUGUGAUACACUUUCAAAGAGUCGGAUUGUUUGGGAAUGCAGUCCAAAAUGGGUGGUAAAUUUCAUCUAAAGCUAAAUAUUGGCGAGAGACCGAUAGCGAACAAGUACCGUGAGGGAAAGAUGAGGAGAACUUUGAAAAGAGAGUUAAACAGUACGUGAAAUUGUCAAAAGGGAAGCGUUUGACACCAGUGUUGUUUUUCUGAAAAUCAAUUAAAGAACUGUUUAUGCUAAGCUGUUUAGACUUUAUCAGCUAAUCUGUUUAGUUUUGAGCUUUUCCUUAAUGCACUCUUCAGUUAACAAGUCAACAUCAAUUUCUUUUGCUGUAAAAAAGCUUGAGGAAGGUGGCUUGAGAUUCGUCUUAAGUGUUUAUAGCCUCUUGCCUAUGCAGUCGGAGAGAUUGAGGUCUGCAGCGUAGAUCCUUCGGGGCUAAAUGCAUUUGUGCUAAGUUAUAGCAUUUUAUAGACAACUUGUUGACUAUGAUUUGUCUUGUAGCUUACUCGCUUAUGUUAUUUUACCUACGCUUAGGAUGUUGAAGACUCUACAGAGAUA